CCUACGGGAGGCAGCAGUGGGGAAUAUUGGGCAAUGGGCGCAAGCCUGACCCAGCAACGCCGCGUGAAGGAAGAAGGCUUUCGGGUUGUAAACUUCUUUUAUCAGGGACGAAACAAAUGACGGUACCUGCUGAAUAAGCCACGGCUAACUACGUGCCAGCAGCCGCGGUAAUACGUAGGUGGCAAGCGUUAUCCGGAUUUACUGGGUGUAAAGGGCGUGUAGGCGGGCUUGCAAGUCAGAUGUGAAAUUCCAGGGCUCAACCCUGGAACUGCAUUUGAAACUGUAGGUCUUGAGUGCUGGAGAGGCAAUCGGAAUUCCGUGUGUAGCGGUGAAAUGCGUAGAUAUACGGAGGAACACCAGUGGCGAAGGCGGAUUGCUGGACAGUAACUGACGCUGAGGCGCGAAAGCGUGGGGAGCAAACAGGAUUAGAUACCCCAGUAGUC
RNAcentral lists this ribosomal RNA (443 nucleotides) under uncultured bacterium. RNAcentral's name for it is "partial 16S ribosomal RNA". It matches the Rfam family "Bacterial small subunit ribosomal RNA", at positions 338 to 795 of the family's 1533-position model. The record is from RNAcentral.